Molecule: unclassified non-coding RNA, 306 nt
Filed under: uncultured Chaetomium
Lineage: Eukaryota; Fungi; Ascomycota; Sordariomycetes; Sordariales; Chaetomiaceae
Description: sequence contains ITS1
Rfam family: 5.8S ribosomal RNA (bases 1-105)
Source: RNAcentral
GAAAUGCGAUAAGUAAUGUGAAUUGCAGAAUUCAGUGAAUCAUCGAAUCUUUGAACGCACAUUGCGCCCGCCAGUAUUCUGGCGGGCAUGCCUGUUCGAGCGUCAUUUCAACCAUCAAGCCCCCCGGGCUUGUGUUGGGGACCUGCGGCUGCCGCAGGCCCUGAAAACCAGUGGCGGGCUCGCUGUCACCCCGAGCGUAGUAGCGUAAACCUCGCUCAGGGAGUGCUGCGUGUCCCUGCCGUAAAAAGCGUCUUACGACACCCAAAGGUUGACCUCGGAUCAGGUAGGAAGACCCGCUGAACUUAA